CCUACGGGCGGCAGCAGUGAGGAAUAUUGGUCAAUGGGCGCGAGCCUGAACCAGCCAAGUAGCGUGAAGGAUGACUGCCCUACGGGUUGUAAACUUCUUUUAUAAAGGAAUAAAGUGAGGCACGUGUGCCUUUUUGUCUGUACUUUAUGAAUAAGGAUCGGCUAACUCCGUGCCAGCAGCCGCGGUAAUACGGAGGAUCCGAGCGUUAUCCGGAUUUAUUGGGUUGAAAGGGAGCGUAGAUGGGUUGUUAAGUCAGUUGUGAAAGGUUGCGGCUCAACCGUAAAAUUGCAAUUGAUACUGGCAGCCUUGAGUACAGUUGAGGUAGGCGGAAUUCGUGGGGUAGCGGUGAAAUGCUUAGA
This 359-nucleotide ribosomal RNA is filed under the name uncultured bacterium. Its description in RNAcentral is "partial 16S ribosomal RNA". It matches the Rfam family "Bacterial small subunit ribosomal RNA", at positions 338 to 694 of the family's 1533-position model. The record is from RNAcentral.